AAACGGUAGCUAAUACCGCAUAACGUCGCAAGACCAAAGAGGGGGACCUUCGGGCCUCUUGCCAUCGGAUGUGCCCAGAUGGGAUUAGCUAGUAGGUGGGGUAAAGGCUCACCUAGGCGACGAUCCCUAGCUGGUCUGAGAGGAUGACCAGCCACACUGGAACUGAGACACGGUCCAGACUCCUACGGGAGGCAGCAGUGGGGAAUAUUGCACAAUGGGCGCAAGCCUGAUGCAGCCAUGCCGCGUGUAUGAAGAAGGCCUUCGGGUUGUAAAGUACUUUCAGCGGGGAGGAAGGGAGUAAAGUUAAUACCUUUGCUCAUUGACGUUACCCGCAGAAGAAGCACCGGCUAACUCCGUGCCAGCAGCCGCGGUAAUACGGAGGGUGCAAGCGUUAAUCGGAAUUACUGGGCGUAAAGCGCACGCAGGCGGUUUGUUAAGUCAGAUGUGAAAUCCCCGGGCUCAACCUGGGA
This 470-nucleotide ribosomal RNA is filed under the name Escherichia coli. RNAcentral describes it as "bacterial SSU rRNA". It matches the Rfam family "Bacterial small subunit ribosomal RNA", at positions 154 to 619 of the family's 1533-position model. The record is from RNAcentral. Lineage: Bacteria; Pseudomonadati; Pseudomonadota; Gammaproteobacteria; Enterobacterales; Enterobacteriaceae.